This is a non-coding RNA of Caenorhabditis elegans, 72 nucleotides long. Lineage: Eukaryota; Metazoa; Nematoda; Chromadorea; Rhabditida; Rhabditidae. The record is from the annotation of a RefSeq genome assembly.
GCACCUGUGGCGCAGUGGGUAACAUGGAUGGCUGCCAAUCAGACGACCAGGGUUCGACCCCCCGCUUGGUCG